UCCCCUGUAGCUCAAUUGGCAGAGCGUCGGACUGUUAAUCCGUAGGUUCCUGGUUCGAGUCCAGGCGGGGGAG
This 73-nucleotide transfer RNA is filed under the name Micropruina glycogenica. It matches the Rfam family "tRNA". From Rfam's summary of the family: Transfer RNA (tRNA) molecules are approximately 80 nucleotides in length. Their secondary structure includes four short double-helical elements and three loops (D, anti-codon, and T loops). Further hydrogen bonds mediate the characteristic L-shaped molecular structure. tRNAs have two regions of fundamental functional importance: the anti-codon, which is responsible for specific mRNA codon recognition, and the 3' end, to which the tRNAs corresponding amino acid is attached (by aminoacyl-tRNA synthetases). tRNAs cope with the degeneracy of the genetic code in two manners: having more than one tRNA (with a specific anti-codon) for a particular amino acid; and 'wobble' base-pairing, i.e. permitting non-standard base-pairing at the 3rd anti-codon position. RNAcentral also lists the same sequence under 7 other names. The record is from Rfam by way of RNAcentral. Lineage: Bacteria; Bacillati; Actinomycetota; Actinomycetes; Propionibacteriales; Nocardioidaceae.